Dermacentor albipictus is the source of this 783-nucleotide non-coding RNA. Lineage: Eukaryota; Metazoa; Arthropoda; Arachnida; Ixodida; Ixodidae. The record is from RefSeq and is a predicted model, not a curated record.
AAAUUUGAUAACAGUGAAAGUACGGUGAGAACUUGCUAGGGCACAACGUAAACAAAGAAAGAAAGAAAAGAAAGGACAGCUGGCAAUGUGAAAAAUGACCUAAUGUGAUUGACCAAUCAAUGAACAAUUUGUCUAAUGCCGAAAAUUACUUAUUUUCUUUAGUUUGGCGUUCAGGAGACGGGAUCUCUGCGUCCGACUUGGCCAGGAAGUCCGUCGAAGCGGUGCCCAUGUGCGCGUGCGAGAAGCCAGCACUGCAGGAGGAGCAGGACGUUUCGGCGUCUCGGUCCGAGCAGCUCUACUUGCCGUCGCCUUUCGGUCCCCGGAUGCUGCCGUGCCACUUCGCUGACGUCACCGACGGAACACUCGUCGACGCGGGAACACUACCUCGGUGCCUUCCGACCGUUCACGAAGACAUCGAGCUGGACGCGGGGAACUGCGAAAAGCGGUCCGCGUAUGACGUGCCUUUCGCGCCCAGAGAUUCAGUGCAAAAGCUAGCGGAACGUGAUGACCUUCUUGCUUCGGCGGAGCGUCUGACUACGGCGAAACAAGAUUUCUCACUAGCGCAACGCACCAGUCAAGACCAUGGAAGCACUGAAUCCGAGCCGAGCAACUAGCCGUGAGGUUUUUAGCAAUCAAUAAAACCUCGUGCAUCCACGUCCCGUGUCCCCUCUUUUUUAUGCCGUGAGAAACGGGGUCGUACUUUUGACGACAAAGGUGUUCGAAUAAUAGUUGCCCAACUCGUGCAAAGUCUCCCGAGGGCAGCUCUUACUGGACCAAGUGUGA